Molecule: long non-coding RNA, 207 nt
Filed under: Capsella grandiflora
Lineage: Eukaryota; Viridiplantae; Streptophyta; Magnoliopsida; Brassicales; Brassicaceae
Description: long non-coding RNA (CGRA_LNC000271)
Source: RNAcentral
ACUACAAGAAAACACUCGUAUUGCUAGGGAAGAAUGUCUAGCGUAUCCCUCGCAAUACGUCUUUCGCAAGGGAAUUGCGAGAAUCUUCAUUCCCUCGCGAAUCGCGACUCGCAAAUUUAUGCCCUCGCAAUUUUCUCGCACUAUUGCGAGGGAUUCGUUCGCUCGCAAUAUCCCUAGCAAAUUGCGAGGAACAAAUGACUAGCAGGU